Molecule: ribosomal RNA, 241 nt
Filed under: uncultured bacterium
Lineage: Bacteria
Description: partial 16S ribosomal RNA
Rfam family: Bacterial small subunit ribosomal RNA
Source: RNAcentral
UUAGUGGCGAACGGGUGAGUAACACGUGAGAAACCUGCCCCGAACUCUGGAAUAACCCUCCGAAAGGGGAGCUAAUACCGGAUACCUUCUUACUGUCGCAUGGCAGAAAGAAGAAAGUUUUUCGGUUCGGGAGGGUCUCGCGGCCUAUCAGCUUGUUGGUGGGGUAAAGGCCUACCAAGGCGUCGACGGGUAGCUGGUCUGAGAGGAUGAUCAGCCACACUGGGACUGAGACACGGCCCAG